UUCCGGUUGAUCCUGCCGGACCUGACUGCUAUCGGAUUGAUACUAAGCCAUGCGAGUCUUUGCAGUAAUGCAAGGCAGACGGCUCAGUAACACGUAGUCAACUUACCCUAUGGACGAGGAUAAUCUCGGGAAACUGAGCAUAAUACUCGAUAGAUCAUAAUGCCUGGAAUGGUUUAUGGUUAAAAUGAUUCGUCGCCAUAGGAUGGGACUGCGGCCUAUCAGCUUGUUGGUGAGGUAAUGGCCCACCAAGGCGAUUACAGGUACGGGCUCUGAGAGGAGAAGCCCGGAGAUGGGUACUGAGACAAGGACCCAGGCCCUAUGGGGCGCAGCAGGCGAGAAAACUUUGCAAUGUGCGAAAGCACGACAAGGUUAAUCCGAGUGAUUUCUGCUAAAGAAAUCUUUUGCAAGUCAUAAAACCACUAGUGAAUAAGGGGUGGGCAAGUUCUGGUGUCAGCCGCCGCGGUAAAACCAGCACCUCAAGUGGUCAGGAGGAUUAUUGGGCCUAAAGCAUCCGUAGCCGGCUCUGUAAGUUUUCGGUUAAAUCCAUGUGCUCAACGCAUGGGCUGCCGAAAAUACUGCAUAGCUAGGGAGUGGGAGAGGUAGACGGUACUCAGUAGGAAGGGGUAAAAUCCUUUGAUCUAUUGAUGACCACCUGUGGCGAAGGCGGUCUACCAGAACACGUUCGACGGUGAGGGAUGAAAGCUGGGGGAGCAAACCGGAUUAGAUACCCGGGUAGUCCCAGCUGUAAACGAUGCAGACUCGAUGAUGCAUUGGCAUAUAGCCAGUGCAGUGUCGCAGGGAAGCCGUUAAGUCUGCCGCCUGGGAAGUACGUACGCAAGUAUGAAACUUAAAGGAAUUGGCGGGGGAGCACCACAAGGGGUGAAGCCUGCGGUUCAAUUGGAUUCAACGCCGG
Molecule: ribosomal RNA, 913 nt
Filed under: uncultured marine archaeon
Lineage: Archaea
Description: bacterial SSU rRNA
Rfam family: Archaeal small subunit ribosomal RNA
Source: RNAcentral